Molecule: unclassified non-coding RNA, 253 nt
Filed under: plant metagenome
Description: partial contains small subunit ribosomal RNA, internal transcribed spacer 1, and 5.8S ribosomal RNA
Source: RNAcentral
UUUCCGUAGGUGAACCUGCGGAAGGAUCAUUAACGAGUUAGCGUCUUCUAGCCCCGGCCUCCCAACCCUAUGUUGAUUGAACCUCUGUUUCUUCGGCGGCCCCGCCUGACGGCCGCCGGAGGACCACUGCAAUUCUUCUUCUGGCCAGCGUCCGGCGAUCCCGAACGACUUAAACCCUGAAUGAACUGUGUCCUAUGUCUAUGUAUAUGAUUAAAUUAAAGCAAAACUUUCAACAACGGAUCUCUUGGUUCUG